This 235-nucleotide ribosomal RNA is filed under the name uncultured Eubacteriales bacterium. Its description in RNAcentral is "uncultured Clostridiales bacterium partial 16S ribosomal RNA". It matches the Rfam family "Bacterial small subunit ribosomal RNA", at positions 99 to 334 of the family's 1533-position model. The record is from RNAcentral. Lineage: Bacteria; Bacillati; Bacillota; Clostridia; Eubacteriales.
CGAACGGGUGAGUAACGCGUGGGCAACCUGCCUAUGACAGUGGGAUAGCCUCGGGAAAGCGGGAUUAAUACCGCAUAAAAUCGUAGAAACACAUGUUUUAACGGUCAAAGAUUUAUCGGUCAUAGAUGGGCUCGCGUCUGAUUAGCUAGUUGGUGAGAUAACAGCCCACCAAGGCGACGAUCAGUAGCCGGUCUGAGAGGAUGAACGGCCACAUUGGAACUGAGACACGGUCCAA